CUAGAGCAGCUGCAGCAUCUCCUCUGGACCCAAAGGAAACUGUCAUCCAGCCAACGGUGGGACCUCACUCUACCUAAGCCAGGGUAAUGGACUCAUGGCAGCCUCCAAAGAUGGCGCCCUUCCCCUGUUAUAAGGAGAAAGAACCACAGGCUCUCGGCUUCAGAAAGGGCGUCACAGGCCUCC
This 183-nucleotide long non-coding RNA is filed under the name Phascolarctos cinereus (koala). RNAcentral's name for it is "lncRNA (ENSPCIG00000036529.1)". The record is from RNAcentral. Lineage: Eukaryota; Metazoa; Chordata; Mammalia; Diprotodontia; Phascolarctidae.